GUAUUUCCGCGGGCGCUGAGCACUAGAGAGAGCGUCUUGUGGCUGCGGCCUGCCCCUCAGCCUCCUCCGCGCGGUUACCCCUGUACCCGCCGCCAUCCGUCCUGGCGCUCCGGAUGAGUCAAUGAGGGGCAGGGCCCGAGGAGUGGUCUUCCCAAGAACCCCUGGUGGCCUCCCAAGGCCGGUGCUGUGUACCUCCUCCCCGACAAAAGGGGAAACUGAGGCCCCGAGGGGAGUGGGAAGAGCCGGCUGGACGUCAGGCCCAGCCGCUGGUGCAGUGGUCCGUCCCCUCUGCCGGGGUGGGCCCCUCGGGUUUCGCGUGUCCUCGGGAAAGAGACUGGCGGGCCUCGUGGGCUGUGCGGCUAUCCUGGAGACAGAUGACAGCUCUCCCUUGGAUGGCUUUGCUGGUUCCGCACCAGCCAGCGCCCCCAUUUUUCCUGCAGCACCCUGAUCUGCACUCCCUGAGGGGCUCCCACUGUCCGCGGUGUGAGGAUGUCCCUGGAUAGUCCACUGUGUGCAGAGGCAUGGGAGUUGUCAUGUUGGGAACAUGCUAGACCUCAGUAUCCUUGAGGGAUGCUGCCUUGGGUCUGGAAACUGUUAGAGGAAACCCCAAGAGGUGCAGGCACUGAGCCUCUCAGGACAAUGACCUGGGGUCCCAGCUCCCCUGGAGGGGCCUCCUCAUGAUUGUUUGGGGGUUGAUCACAGACCAAGAGUGACGAGUGAUGUCACCCUGUGACUCAUGGCUGGACCUUCUUGCCCCUAUUGUCUCAGCACAACAUUAUUCGACUUUUCCCUCAGCGUGGGUGGGCAGAGGAAAAGCCCUGUGGCUCUGGGGACUUGGGAUCCAGAGUUGAAGACCCUUCAGCUGGCUCUGCCCUGCCAGUGCCACAGAGUGCCAUGGCCCAGGAAGACAGGUUUUCUUCCAUCUAGGCCAGGCCAUCCAGUGGCCAUCCUCCGUGUCCUCCCGCCUCCUCCUGGUGUGACUUCUGAAAACCAAGAAUUUGUUCCUGUUGACUUUUUCUGUGCUAUGGACCAUUGUCCUCUCACCCACUCAAUAAAUCUUGAAACAUGC
Molecule: long non-coding RNA, 1069 nt
Filed under: Homo sapiens (human)
Lineage: Eukaryota; Metazoa; Chordata; Mammalia; Primates; Hominidae
Description: non-protein coding SNHG11:28
Source: RNAcentral